This 739-nucleotide ribosomal RNA is filed under the name uncultured marine bacterium. Its description in RNAcentral is "bacterial SSU rRNA". It matches the Rfam family "Bacterial small subunit ribosomal RNA", at positions 574 to 1319 of the family's 1533-position model. The record is from RNAcentral.
GGCGGGCAUAUAAGUCAGUGGUGAAAGUCUGUGGCUCAACCAUAGAACUGCCAUUGAUACUGUAUGUCUUGAAUUAUUGUGAAGUGGUUAGAAUAUGUAGUGUAGCGGUGAAAUGCUUAGAUACUACAUAGAAUACCGAUUGCGAAGGCAGAUCACUAACAAUAUAUUGACGCUGAUGGACGAAAGCGUAGGUAGCGAACAGGAUUAGAUACCCUGGUAGUCUACGCCGUAAACGAUGGAUACUAGCUGUUUGGACUUCGGUCUGAGUGGCUAAGCGAAAGUGAUAAGUAUCCCACCUGGGGAGUACGUUCGCAAGAAUGAAACUCAAAGGAAUUGACGGGGGCCCGCACAAGCGGUGGAGCAUGUGGUUUAAUUCGAUGAUACGCGAGGAACCUUACCAGGGCUUAAAUGUAGAUUGACAGGUUUAGAGAUAGACUUUUCUUCGGACAAUUUACAAGGUGCUGCAUGGUUGUCGUCAGCUCGUGCCGUGAGGUGUCAGGUUAAGUCCUAUAACGAGCGCAACCCCUGUGGUUAGUUGCCAGCGAGUAAUGUCGGGAACUCUAGCCAGACUGCCAGUGCAAACUGUGAGGAAGGUGGGGAUGACGUCAAAUCAUCACGGCCCUUACGUCCUGGGCCACACACGUGCUACAAUGGUAGGGACAGAGAGCAGCCACUGCGCGAGCAGGAGCGAAUCUAUAAACCCUAUCUCAGUUCGGAUCGGAGUCUGCAACUCGACUCC